This 1539-nucleotide ribosomal RNA is filed under the name uncultured prokaryote. RNAcentral's name for it is "partial 16S ribosomal RNA". It matches the Rfam family "Bacterial small subunit ribosomal RNA". The record is from RNAcentral.
AGAGUUUGAUCUUGGCUCAGAACGAACGCUGGCAGCGUGGAUUAGGCAUGCAAGUCGAACGAGAAACCGCCUUUUCAAUCUUCGGAAAGAGAAGGUGGUGGAAAGUGGCGAAAGGGUGAGUAACGCGUGGGUAAUCUGCCUCUAAGUUUGGGAUAACAUCUCGAAAGGGAUGCUAAUACCGGAUGGGGUCGUCCUUCGCAUGGAGGAUUGAUCAAAGGUGGGGAUUCUUCGGAACCUGCCGCUUGGAGAGGAACCCGCGUCACAUCAGCUUGUUGGUGAGGUAACGGCUCACCAAGGCUUACGGGUAGCUGGUCUGAGAGGAUGGUCAGCCACACUGGGACUGAGACACUGCCCAGACUCCUACGGGAGGCUGCAGUCGAGGAUCAUUCGCAAUGCGCGAAAGCGUGACGAUGCGACGCUGCGUGGAGGAUGACGGCCUUCGGGUUGUAAACUCCUGUCAUUCGGGAAAAAUGGCCCCGGAGUUAAUACCUCCAGGGUGUGAUGGUACCUCAAGAGGAAGCCACGGCUAACUCUGUGCCAGCAGCCGCGGUAAUACAGAGGUGGCGAGCGUUGUUCGGAUUUACUGGGCGUAAAGGGUACGUAGGCGGUCUUGUAUGUCGGAUGUGAAAUCCCAUGGCUCAACCAUGGAACUGCAUUCGAAACUACAAGACUAGAGUACAGGAGGGGAGAGCGGAAUUCUUGGUGUAGCGGUGAAAUGCGUUGAUAUCAAGAAGAACACCGGUGGCGAAGGCGGCUCUCUGGAAUGUUACUGACGCUGAUGUACGAAAGCUAGGGUAGCAAACAGGUUUAGAUACCCUGGUAGUCCUAGCUGUAAACGGUGUGCACUUGGUGUGGGGGGUAUUGACCCUUCCCGUGCCGGAGCUAACGCGUUAAGUGCACCGCCUGGGGAGUACGGCCGCAAGGUUAAAACUCAAAGAAAUUGACGGGGGCCCGCACAAGCGGAGGAGCAUGUGGCUUAAUUCGAUGCAACGCGAAGAACCUUACCAGGGCUUGACAUGGGGACCCUUCGGGGGUGGUAGCGAAAGUUACCUUUACCAUCACAGGUGCUGCAUGGCUGUCGUCAGUUCGUGCCGUGAGGUGUUGGGUUAAGUCCCGCAACGAACGCAACCCCUGUGUUUAGUUGCCACCGUAGGUGUUAAGUCUGGAAGCACUCUAAACAGACUGCCUGUACAAGCAGGAGGAAGGUGGGGACGACGUCAAGUCAGUAUGGCCCUUACGCCCUGGGCUGCACACGUGCUACAAUGGCCGGUACAGAGGGAUGCAAUAUCGCGAGGUGGAGCAAAUCCUGAAAGCCGGCCCCAGUUCGGAUUGGAGUCUGCAACUCGACUCCAUGAAGUCGGAUUCGCUAGUAACGGCGUAUCAGCUACGACGCCGUGAAUACGUUCCCGGGCCUUGUACACACCGCCCGUCACAUCAUGAAAGCCGUCUGCACCCGAAGUCGCUGAGCCAACCCGCAAGGGAGGCAGGUGCCGAAGGUGUGGGUGGUGAUUGGGAUGAAGUCGUAACAAGGUAACCGUA